Non-coding RNA from Triticum aestivum (bread wheat), 139 nucleotides. The record is from Rfam. NCBI's taxonomy places the organism in Eukaryota, Viridiplantae, Streptophyta, Magnoliopsida, Poales, Poaceae.
GCCAUCCAGGAUGACGAGCUGAUCUCCUACAUCAUCCAUGGGCUGGACAUGGACUACCAGCCUCUUGUCUCGGCCCUCGACGCCCGCGUCACGCCCGUCUCCCUCGACGAACUCUUUGCCAUGCUCAGCAACUUCGAUC